This 795-nucleotide long non-coding RNA is filed under the name Amborella trichopoda. RNAcentral's name for it is "long non-coding RNA (ATRI_LNC001868)". The record is from RNAcentral. Lineage: Eukaryota; Viridiplantae; Streptophyta; Magnoliopsida; Amborellales; Amborellaceae.
GUUGGGUGAAUAGUUGGAGUAAAUUGGGGGUAAUUAUUUUGGGCGGAAACUCUCUCUGUGGCUUUCUCUAUGAUGAAUGUGAAAUGUGAAAAAUAAAGGAAACACAACUUAUUACAUAAGAAAGAAAACAGUGUGUACAAGUUCACCUUCAUCCCACAAUCUCCAUAUACACAAAGCAGAGGACCAGACCUAAAGGCGCCCUUCGGCCGCCUAACAAAUGAAAUACUCUCCACAAAUUACAACAUCACAGAUUCAUAACCUAAAUUCACAAUCCACAAACUCUACUAGGCCGCCCAUGUCUUUCUUCUCUGCCCCCUAGUGCUCUUUGCACUAUGUUUUAGGCCAGACCUGAAGAAAGAAGGGAGGGUACUCAAAGCAUGUGGCGGCGAGAGGCGGAGCGACGCAUUGGGGACUGCGAUGCUCCUCCAGUCGAUGGAGCCAUCGAAGAAGAAGAAGAGGAUGAGGCGCCAGAAAAUACACGGUCCUGCCGGAAAAGUUGAAUCUCUGGCUGUGAAAAUCGGCCGGAAUCACCUGGAAGCCUCACGUAAUGAGCUGAAGGUGAUUCACUAAACCACGAACUUCCGGCGAGAGCCGCCUGUGCAGCAGCGCCACCCCUGUAUUGGACAAGGGCUCUAUAAACCAGAGGAAUGAGGCCUUCCAUUCUCUCUCUGAAUACAGUUUGUGCUUUCUCUCUCUAAAUUGGGUUUCUCUCUCUUUCUCCCUACGUCUCUCUCUCUCUCUCUCGGUUCUUCGCUUGAAGGUCUAUGCAUGCGUCGCUUGGUGGUGGCGAUAGGU